AGCGCAUUUAUUAGAACAAAACCAAUCGGGCUUCGGCCUGAGGUUUGGUGAAUCUGAAUAACUGAGCUGAUCGCAUGGUCUUUGUACCGGCGACGCAUCUUUCAAGUGUCUGCCUUAUCAACUUUCGAUGGUAGUUUAUGUGCCUACCAUGGUUGUAACGGGUAACGGAGAAUAAGGGUUCGACUCCGGAGAGGGAGCCUGAGAAACGGCUACCACAUCCAAGGAAGGCAGCAGGCGCGCAAAUUACCCACUCUCGGCACGAGGAGGUAGUGACGAAAAAUAACGAGGCGGUUCUCUAAGAGGCCCGCUAUCGGAAUGGGUACAAUUUAAACCCUUUAACGAGGACCUAUGAGAGGGCAAGUCUGGUGCCAGCAGCCGCGGUAAUUCCAGCUCUCAAGGUGUAUAUCGCCAUUGCUGCGGUUAAAAAGCUCGUAGUUGGAUCUGCGCCUUCGGACUCGGUCCUCCCAACGGGUGCGAACUGAGCUCCAAGGCUACUACUGCUGGUUUUCCCUUGAUGCUCUUCACUGGGUGUCUUGGGUGGCUAGCGAGUUUACUUUGAAAAAAUUAGAGUGUUUAAAGCAGGCUUGCGCUAUGAAUACAUUAGCAUGGAAUAAUAAUUUAGGACUUUGUUUCUAUUUUGUUGGUUUCUAGAGGCGAAGUAAUGAUUGAUAGGGACAGUUGGGGGUGCUAGUAUUCAGCGGCCAGAGGUGAAAUUCUUGGAUUCGCUGAAGACUAACUUAUGCGAAAGCAUUCACCAAGGAUGUCUUCUUUAAUCAAGAACGAAAGUUGGGGGAUCGAAGACGAUUAGAUACCGUCGUAGUCUCAACUAUAAACGAUACCGACUAGGGAUUAGUGGAAGUUGCUUAUUCGACUCCAUUAGCACCUUAUGAGAAAUCAAAGUCUUUGGGUUCCGGGGGGAGUAUGGUCGCAAGGCUGAAACUUAAAGGAAUUGACGGAAGGGCACCACCAGGAGUGGAGCCUGCGGCUUAAUUUGACCCAACACGGGGAAACUUACCAGGUCCAGACAUAGUGAGGAUUGACAGAUUGAAGUUCUUUCUUGAUUCUAUGGGUGGUGGUGCAUGGCCGUUCUUAGUUGGUGGAGUGAUUUGUCUGGUUAAUUCCGUUAACGAACGAGACCUCGACCUACUAAAUAGUUUGGCGUACCUUCGGGUACGUACGCACUUCUUAGAGGGACUGUCGGUUUUUAGCCGAAGGAAGUUCGAGGCAAUAACAGGUCUGUGAUGCCCUUAGAUGUUCUGGGCCUCACGCGCGCUACACUGAUACGUUCAUCGAGCAUACAACCUUGGCUGAGAGGCCUGGGUAAUCUUUUCAAAGCGUAUCGUGCUGGGGAUAGAUCAUUGUAAUUAUUGAUCUUCAACGAGGAAUUCCUAGUAAACGCGAGUCAUCAACUCGCAUUGAUUACGUCCCUGCCCUUUGUACACACCGCCCGUCGCUGCUACCGAUUGAAUGGAUUAGUGAGCCUCAGG
This 1487-nucleotide ribosomal RNA is filed under the name metagenome. RNAcentral's name for it is "SSU rRNA". It matches the Rfam family "Eukaryotic small subunit ribosomal RNA", at positions 200 to 1712 of the family's 1831-position model. The record is from RNAcentral.